RNAcentral lists this ribosomal RNA (274 nucleotides) under uncultured bacterium. RNAcentral's name for it is "partial 16S ribosomal RNA". It matches the Rfam family "Bacterial small subunit ribosomal RNA", at positions 523 to 796 of the family's 1533-position model. The record is from RNAcentral.
AUACGGAGGGGGCAAACGUUGUUCGGAAUUACUGGGCGUAAAGGGCGCGUAGGCGGAUUAUCAAGUCAGAGGUGAAAGCCCUGGGCUCAACCUAGGAACUGCCUUUGAAACUGAUAGUCUUGAGUCCGAGAGAGGAUGGCGGAAUUCCCAGUGUAGAGGUGAAAUUCGUAGAUAUUGGGAAGAACACCAGUGGCGAAGGCGGCCAUCUGGCUCGGUACUGACGCUGAGGCGCGAAAGCGUGGGGAGCAAACAGGAUUAGAAACCCCGGUAGUCC